RNAcentral lists this ribosomal RNA (447 nucleotides) under uncultured bacterium. Its description in RNAcentral is "partial 16S ribosomal RNA". It matches the Rfam family "Bacterial small subunit ribosomal RNA", at positions 338 to 795 of the family's 1533-position model. The record is from RNAcentral.
CCUACGGGUGGCAGCAGUGGGGAAUUUUGGACAAUGGGCGCAAGCCUGAUCCAGCCAUUCCGCGUGAGUGAAGAAGGCCUUCGGGUUGUAAAGCUCUUUCGGCCGGGACGAAAUCGUAUGGGCUAAUACCCUGUAUGGAUGACGGUACUGGAAGAAGAAGCACCGGCUAACUACGUGCCAGCAGCCGCGGUAAUACGUAGGGUGCGAGCGUUAAUCGGGGUUACUGGGCGGUUUUGGUGCGCAGGCGGUUAAUCCCCGGGCUUAACCUGGGAACUGCGGUUGGGACGGCAAGACUUGGGUGCGGCAGAGGGGGUGGAAUUCCACGUGUAGCAGUGAAAUGCGUAGAGAUGUGGAGGAACACCGAUGGCGAAGGCAGCCCCCUGGGUCGACACUGACGCUCAUGCACGAAAGCGUGGGGAGCAAACAGGAUUAGAUACCCGUGUAGUC